Molecule: non-coding RNA, 73 nt
Organism: Paramuricea clavata
Lineage: Eukaryota; Metazoa; Cnidaria; Anthozoa; Malacalcyonacea; Plexauridae
Source: the annotation of a GenBank genome assembly
GACCGUGUAGCUCAGUUGGAAGAGCAUUGGGCUAGUAUUCCAAAGGUCGUAGGUUCGAAUCCCACUGUGGCCG